RNAcentral lists this long non-coding RNA (218 nucleotides) under Lathyrus oleraceus (garden pea). RNAcentral describes it as "Pisum sativum (pea) long non-coding RNA (PSAT_LNC039042)". Lineage: Eukaryota; Viridiplantae; Streptophyta; Magnoliopsida; Fabales; Fabaceae. The record is from RNAcentral.
CACCAAAGGAAUCUGCUUAUCCGGCGUUUGAUAGAAUUCCCAGAUCAUCCUGACACGAUAGCAUUGCUGGCUGAAGUGAGGAGCAGUCCUUAUGGUUUGUACACAGGAGGCUGAGUCCUGAUUUUUGUUCCUCCCUUUACUUUUGCUUUAUUGCUGUGUAGUGAUGAUCCACAGGCUUGUUGUGGAAAUCCUCUUUUGAUGUACUAUCGGCUAAGGCC